CUGAUGAAAAGUGAUGGCGAAUGUACUACUGUAAUCUGUACUCCUGUAGCGGCGAAAUAGGAAUCAAGCCGCACUGAGGGAAAUCACAGCAGCAUACCAGAGGCUACGAGAAGAUUACGAGGUGCAAUGCCUCUAAUCAUGGAAGUCGACGCACCACGGCACCGUAGCUCACCGCUACGGGAGUCAAGUUCCGGAUGAGCUGCUGCCAAGGUCAGCAGGAUGCAGUGAUAAGCUUCUACAGUUGGUCCGGAUGCUGUGUUCCUGACUUCACACUCACCGCAACAGACUACACACUGCGCGUCCGCUGUCCAGGCGGACUGCGGACUCAACAUUCGACGGGGCCAGAUGACUACUGCCAGAUCAUCGACG
This is a long non-coding RNA of Schistocerca americana (American grasshopper), 369 nucleotides long. RefSeq lists it as uncharacterized. The record is from RefSeq and is a predicted model, not a curated record. Lineage: Eukaryota; Metazoa; Arthropoda; Insecta; Orthoptera; Acrididae. The transcript is spliced from 4 exons.